AAAAAUUUAGUUUAAAAAAACAUUAGUUUGUCAUACUAAAAAUAAUAUUUAAUAUAUUAAUUUUUA
Molecule: transfer RNA, 66 nt
Filed under: Alcidodes juglans
Lineage: Eukaryota; Metazoa; Arthropoda; Insecta; Coleoptera; Curculionidae
Description: tRNA-Asp
Source: RNAcentral